This 76-nucleotide transfer RNA is filed under the name Stackebrandtia nassauensis DSM 44728. RNAcentral describes it as "tRNA-Ala". It matches the Rfam family "tRNA". Rfam says of the family: Transfer RNA (tRNA) molecules are approximately 80 nucleotides in length. Their secondary structure includes four short double-helical elements and three loops (D, anti-codon, and T loops). The record is from RNAcentral. Lineage: Bacteria; Bacillati; Actinomycetota; Actinomycetes; Glycomycetales; Glycomycetaceae.
GGGGCCUUAGCUCAAUUGGCAGAGCGUCGCUUUUGCAAGGCGAAGGUUAGGAGUUCGAUUCUCCUAGGCUCCACAA